CCUAGCGCUUGAUCUACCAUCUCAGUAUUUGAAGCAGCUACCUUGGUUAACGCUGCAUCUAUCUUCUUCUUGAUAUCUUCGUUCUUGAGUGCCUCAUCCACCUUCUUACGUCGCUGCUCAUUCUCCUUCCACCCUUCUGGUUUCUGGCUUGGGUUGAGAUAAUAGCAUUUGACCCAGGGAUGCUUUGCACCACAAACGCAGGUUCUCGAUCUUGGUUGUCCUGCUUGCCGGCCAUUUAAGGUAGCAAGGUUGGACACAAGCAGUCCUGGCUUGCUGUAUCCCUUCUUGCGAUAUUCGGAUCGGAAAUCAUUGACCACAUCUGCGAAGGAGAAGUUCUCCUUUCCUCCUAUCUCAACUUCCCUCUUUCGGACGGUAGCGUACGGAUUAUCGAUAGGUACAUUGGCAUAGAAGAAAUCCUCCCAUAUAUCAAAGCUGCCAUCCAUACCAGAGUGCUUGAUUUCUGUUUCAAUCAGGAUCCAGGCAUCUAACCACUGAUCUAGGUUCUGUUUAGGCACUUUUCGCAAGCUCUGAUACUUCCUCCAUACCUCGUACUGGUGGUCCGCAGUUCUAGGUGAUAACCUCUUCUUAAGAGCAAUUAGAAUAUCCUUGACAUCCAUGUAAUCAUUUCCAGAAGUUGCUACUUCUAGCUCACUAAAUGCCACUGUUCUGAAGAUCUCCUGCCUGAUCUUGCUAACACCUUCGAGCUUGUCCCGAUAGAUGUUGUAAUCAUUGUUGUACUUGGCAUUCUCCAUCUCCCAUCUAAUCCUUGCUUCCAUGGUGUGCUCAGUAGGGAGCUCUGGGGGAAUAGGUUCAGGUAUUUCGCUCAUUCUAUUGGAGCUUUCCUCACUAACAAGAUCCAGUACUUGAAGAUAAAAACCGAUAUAGAAUCGAAUGGAUAUAAUCGAUAUAGUUCGACCGCUAUCUCUCGCCGAUACGUAGGUCGAUGAGGAACGGAUAGAUAUAGAUAGUGCCGCAAUCGUCCCUGAUGAGGAGGUCGGUGAGGUCGGAUAGAUGGAUAUAAUUAGAUAGAUAUCUCGCCGAUAGGGAAGUCGGUGAGGAUAAAUAGAUAUAGAAAUCUUUGCCGAUAAGGAGGUCGGUAUGGAUAGAUAUCAAUAUAAUUGGAU
This 1124-nucleotide small RNA is filed under the name Histoplasma capsulatum. Its description in RNAcentral is "hypothetical RNA". RNAcentral also lists the same sequence under 1 other name. Lineage: Eukaryota; Fungi; Ascomycota; Eurotiomycetes; Onygenales; Ajellomycetaceae. The record is from RNAcentral.